GAUAAUUUUGGUUUUAAAAGCUGGACUGACACUGCUGGGAUGUUCUCUCUAAUAGAUCAUUGCAUGAUAAACGAAUAUGGUGUGCAGCAGAAGAGCCUUAGGUCAGGUUAGAGCAUUGAAUAGGAUGUGGGGAGCCACUCUGCCAUGGAAGCUCGCUGGGUGGACCCUGGGCCAGCCACACACUCUCAGCCUAACCUACCUUGAAGGGUUGUUGGGAAGAUAAAAUGGAAGAGAACAGAAUAAGAAACUCCUCCAUCUUUUGGAACUCAGUCUUUGUCUUUCCCAGCAUCAGUGUUGCUCGCCUCUGAAACAUGAAAAGGAAAGAAA
This is a long non-coding RNA of Heteronotia binoei (common prickly gecko), 327 nucleotides long. RefSeq lists it as uncharacterized. The transcript is spliced from 2 exons. Lineage: Eukaryota; Metazoa; Chordata; Lepidosauria; Squamata; Gekkonidae. The record is from RefSeq and is a predicted model, not a curated record.